UGGGGUAUAUUGGACAAUGGGCGCAAGCCUGAUCCAGCCAUGCCGCGUGAGUGAUGAAGGCCCUAGGGUUGUAAAGCUCUUUCACCGGUGAAGAUAAUGACGGUAACCGGAGAAGAAGCUCCGGCUAACUUCGUGCCAGCAGCCGCGGUAAUACGAAGGGGGCUAGCGUUGUUCGGAUUUACUGGGCGUAAAGCGCACGUAGGCGGACUAUUAAGUCAGGGGUGAAAUCCCGGGGCUCAACCCCGGAACUGCCUUUGAUACUGGUAGUCUUGAGUUCGAGAGAGGUGAGUGGAAUUCCGGGUGUAGAGGUGAAAUUCGUAGAUAUUCGGAGGAACACCAGUGGCGAAGGCGGCUCACUGGCUCGAUACUGACGCUAAGGUGCGAAAGCGUGGGGAGCAAACAGG
Molecule: ribosomal RNA, 404 nt
Filed under: Actinomycetes bacterium
Lineage: Bacteria; Bacillati; Actinomycetota; Actinomycetes
Description: Actinobacteria bacterium partial 16S ribosomal RNA
Rfam family: Bacterial small subunit ribosomal RNA
Source: RNAcentral